GCAGUCCCUCGCCUCCCAGGCGCGUGGUCUUCUCAGCAGAGAUCCCCACUGCCGUCCAGGCCCUCAGCCUCCCAAGGGUCCCACUCGCCCGGCCUCACCUCCCACGCAGGCCAGCGCAGCCUUGAAAGCGCAGCUUUCCAUCACCUUCUCGAUCAUCUUCUGCUCCUCACCCUUCGCUGGACUUGGGAUCCCGCCCAGGCUCCCAGGCUCCAGGAGCCGGGGCUGACGCUUGUCACCCACCAGGUACUGCAGGAGAAGGCUGUACUGCAGCGGAGCUUCGGCGGAACUCGCUGCCUCAGGGGCCGAACUCCCAGCAUUGGGGGCGGCCGCCGCCAUGACAGUCGCUGCCCAAGCAACUCUCGCGUCCUUCUCCCCGCAGCAGAUUCGACAAGCGUCACGUUGCGGGCCCUGAGACUAGCCACUGUGCUGCAACGGCAGAUUCGCCGCAGGAAGAAGCCGCGCGGCCUCAAGGCUCGUCGUGCGCACACCAGCGAGAGCGCUAUCUAGUUUCCAAAAAGAAAGCCUCUUGUGAAAAUGGAAUUGGGCUUGGACAGCUUUCCUCAUAUCACAGAUAAACGAGAUUCAGAUUCACCAGAAAGCGCCCUCACGGUCGGGGCUGCAGCGCGUGAAGGUCACGUAACAGCAUCCUCUGCUCAUCUUCACGGAGUAUUGGCCUGGCUUGCUGGAGGUCCAUGAGGCUGCCCCAAACCAUCACUGAGAACCAGGUGGUUAAGCUGCUGAGCGCAGAGUUAGUUUCUGACUCAGUAAGGUCUGAGGACUGUGAUCGUGCUCCCUGCUCUGGAUUCUACUUCAUGCCAGGAGAAAAUCUGAACCCAACGUGUUGCCAGGAAGACACAGGUGCUUCCAUCCAGGUUUAGUUCUUUUUUUCUGAGACAGUCUUGCUUCUUCACCCAGGCUGGAGUGCAAUGGUGAGAUCUCAGCUCACUGCAACCUCUGCCUCCCUGGUUCAAGCAGUUCUCCUGCUUCAGCCUCCCAAGUAGCUGGGAUUACAGUCAUGUGCCAGCACACCUGGCUAAUUUUUUGUAUUUUUAGUAGAGAUGGGGUUUCACCAGGUUGGCAAGGAUGGUUUUGAACUCCUGACCUCAAGUGAUCUGCCUGCCUUGGCCUCCCAAGGUGCUGGGAUUACAGGUGUGAGCCACUGUGCCUGGCCUAGGGGUACAAGUUAUAAUCCUCAGAUUUGAUCUGAAAAGUAUAGGAAGCAGAUGGAAAAAUGCAUAAUGUUUUCUCCAGCACUUUACACUUCUACAAGAGAGUCAGAAAAGAGUUAGGAAAGUUGUUUAAGAACUAGAGACUAAUGGCCAGGCAUGGUGGCUCAUGCCUGUAAUCCCAGCACUUUGGGAGGUCAAGGCAGGAGGAUCACUUGUGCCCGGGAGUUCAAGACCAGCCUUAGCCACAUAGUGAGACUGUGUCUCUACAAAAAAAUACAAAAAUUAGGCUGGGUUCGGUGGCUCACACCUGUAAUCCCAGCACUUUGGGAGGCCGAGGCCGGCAGAUCACGAGUUCAGG
Molecule: long non-coding RNA, 1527 nt
Organism: Symphalangus syndactylus (siamang)
Lineage: Eukaryota; Metazoa; Chordata; Mammalia; Primates; Hylobatidae
Source: RefSeq, a predicted model, not a curated record